RNAcentral lists this ribosomal RNA (274 nucleotides) under uncultured bacterium. RNAcentral describes it as "partial 16S ribosomal RNA". It matches the Rfam family "Bacterial small subunit ribosomal RNA", at positions 523 to 796 of the family's 1533-position model. The record is from RNAcentral.
AUACGGAGGGUGCAAGCGUUAUUCGGAAUCACUGGGCGUAAAGGACGCGUAGGCGGGUUGGCAAGUCAGAUGUGAAAUCCUACAGCUUAACUGUAGAACUGCAUUUGAAACUGCUAACCUAGAGUAUGGGAGGGGGAGAUGGAAUUAGUGGUGUAGGGGUAAAAUCCGUAGAUAUCACUAGGAAUACCGAGAGCGAAGGCGAUUUCCUGGAACAUAACUGACGCUAAGGCGUGAAAGCGUGGGGAGCAAACAGGAUUAGAAACCCUAGUAGUCC